AUUGAACGCUGGCGGCAUGCCUUACACAUGCAAGUCGAACGGUAGAGGGGGCAACCCCUCGAGAGUGGCGAACGGGUGAGUAAUAUAUCGGAACGUGCCCAGUCGUGGGGGAUAACGUAGCGAAAGUUACGCUAAUACCGCAUACGAUCUAAGGAUGAAAGCGGGGGAUCGCAAGACCUCGCGCGAUUGGAGCGGCCGAUAUCAGAUUAGGUAGUUGGUGGGGUAAAGGCUCACCAAGCCAACGAUCUGUAGCUGGUCUGAGAGGACGACCAGCCACACUGGAACUGAGACACGGUCCAGACUCCUACGGGAGGCAGCAGUGGGGAAUUUUGGACAAUGGACGCAAGUCUGAUCCAGCCAUUCCGCGUGCAGGAUGAAGGCCCUCGGGUUGUAAACUGCUUUUGUACGGAACGAAAAGGUCUCUCUUAAUACGGGGGGCUCAUGACGGUACCGUAAGAAUAAGCACCGACUAACUACGUGCCAGCAGCCGCCGUAA
RNAcentral lists this ribosomal RNA (496 nucleotides) under uncultured bacterium. Its description in RNAcentral is "partial 16S ribosomal RNA". It matches the Rfam family "Bacterial small subunit ribosomal RNA", at positions 30 to 523 of the family's 1533-position model. The record is from RNAcentral.